GGCAAAAGAGAGCUUGAUUGCAAGACAUACAGGUCGAGCAAGGAUGAAAAUCGGACUUAGUGAUCCGGUGGUUCUGCGUGGAAGGGCCAUCGCUCAACGGAUAAAAGCUACCCUGGGGAUAACAGGCUUAUCUCCCCCAAGAGUCCACAUCGACGGGGAGGUUUGGCACCUCGAUGUCGGCUCAUCACAUCCUGGGGCUGUAGUAGGUCCCAAGGGUUGGGCUGUUCGCCCAUUAAAGUGGUACGCGAGCUGGGUUCAGAACGUCGUGGGACAGUUCGGUCCCUAUCCGUCGCAGGCGUAGGAAAUUUGAGAAGACCUGUCCUUAGUACGAGAGGACCGGGAUGGACGUACCUCUGGUGUACCAGUUGUUCUGCCAAGGGCAUGGCUGGGUAGCUA
Molecule: ribosomal RNA, 396 nt
Filed under: Clostridioides difficile
Lineage: Bacteria; Bacillati; Bacillota; Clostridia; Peptostreptococcales; Peptostreptococcaceae
Description: bacterial LSU rRNA
Rfam family: Bacterial large subunit ribosomal RNA
Source: RNAcentral